AGGUUGCUGCGGCUGCUCGUAAGACAGCACUGUCCCAGAGGCCGAUAAUAUCGCUAUGGGAGCUGUCCCUGCCCGGACCGUGGUCUGGAUAUACGGCACCCACCUGUUCUACAGGGCCUAGCGGAUAAUCCCGUCAACGGCGCAUGUGGCUCCUUC
This 156-nucleotide non-coding RNA is filed under the name Micavibrio sp. RNAcentral's name for it is "6S RNA". It matches the Rfam family "6S / SsrS RNA". From Rfam's summary of the family: E. coli 6S RNA was the first non coding RNA to be sequenced, but its function was unknown until recently. It consists of 184 nucleotides that fold into an extended hairpin structure with a large single-stranded internal bulge. The 6S RNA specifically associates with RNA polymerase holoenzyme containing the sigma70 specificity factor. The record is from RNAcentral. Lineage: Bacteria; Pseudomonadati; Bdellovibrionota; Bdellovibrionia; Bdellovibrionales; Pseudobdellovibrionaceae.